AGAACAAAAAUAAACGUCCUUCAAGGAGAAGGAAUCCUCCAAGAAAAGUUCAGUCAGAGGAUCAGGAGAGGAACAGCACAGAACAAAAUUCAGAAAAUGAUCAAGAACCUGAAGUUGAAUCUGAACCAAGUCAGGAGAUACGGACGAUUGUUAAAACAUAUAAGAAUCGACCAGUUCCACCACCAAAACCCAUCAAGCCUGUUAAAAAUAUCUCUAAACCCUUUGCAAAGAAGAAUGAUCCCAAGGAGGAAGCUCUGGCAAAGCUGGGCAUAGUUGGAUUACAUCACUCACCAGUAAGUGACAAU
Molecule: long non-coding RNA, 305 nt
Filed under: Salvator merianae (Argentine black and white tegu)
Lineage: Eukaryota; Metazoa; Chordata; Lepidosauria; Squamata; Teiidae
Description: lncRNA (ENSSMRG00000023190.1)
Source: RNAcentral